AGGUGCUAAUACCGGAUAACAACAUGAAUCGCAUGAUUCAAGUUUGAAAGGCGGCGCAAGCUGUCACUUUAGGAUGAGCCCGCGGCGCAUUAGCUAGUUGGUGGGGUAAAGGCCUACCAAGGCAAUGAUGCGUAGCCGAGUUGAGAGACUGAUCGGCCACAUUGGGACUGAGACACGGCCCAAACUCCUACGGGAGGCAGCAGUAGGGAAUCUUCCACAAUGGACGCAAGUCUGAUGGAGCAACGCCGCGUGAGUGAAGAAGGUCUUCGGAUCGUAAAGCUCUGUUGUUGGUGAAG
This 296-nucleotide ribosomal RNA is filed under the name Lactobacillus delbrueckii subsp. bulgaricus. RNAcentral describes it as "partial 16S ribosomal RNA". It matches the Rfam family "Bacterial small subunit ribosomal RNA", at positions 158 to 447 of the family's 1533-position model. Lineage: Bacteria; Bacillati; Bacillota; Bacilli; Lactobacillales; Lactobacillaceae. The record is from RNAcentral.